This is a long non-coding RNA of Rhipicephalus sanguineus (brown dog tick), 1137 nucleotides long. RefSeq lists it as uncharacterized. The record is from RefSeq and is a predicted model, not a curated record. Lineage: Eukaryota; Metazoa; Arthropoda; Arachnida; Ixodida; Ixodidae. The transcript is spliced from 3 exons.
UGCAGAACAUGCACAUGUUCCUGUCGUCUUUCACAUUCUGUCCUUCUAACGCCAAGGCAUCAUUUCUAUCAUGCCUUCUGUGUGCGCUUCGGUCUUCUAACGAGUGUCCCAUCUGUUUCAGGUCGCAAGAUUCGGUGUUCUUCAUCUCAUCCGCUUGAGCGAAUGAGGCGAAUGAACACCGCGUCCUGCGCAACGGUCAUGCGUAAUAGUGCAGGCGUCCUGCACUAUUGCGCAUGACGUCUUGCCCGACGCCGCCCUACACCGGUUCGCCUUGUCAACUUUCGCUUCUGGCAAAAGUUGAUUCGGCGUUCUUCCCCGGCUGGAGCGUGCCAUCCGCUGUGCGGUACCUCUCCUCUGCAAACUGUUGGUGUCACCAGGGCCACGUGCUGCUAACAGGAGAUCAUGGACAAGGAUCGCGCUGCUUCCCUGGCAAUUAACAGAACACCGACGCCGUCACUGUAACCAGCUUCAUCAGCGGCAUCGAAUUGGUGAGGGUGUGCUGAGCGAGUAACAGGUCUGGCGAAGGUGGCAUGCUUUCAACGACCAUUGCCACUUGCCAGUUUGCUUGCGCCAUUGAAUCUUGAGGUUAAUCGUGCAGGGAACCAUGUAGCUAAACUUCGGCACAGUUGUUGCCGCGAUAGCUCUUCUCCACGAUGAAACCGAAAGGGGACCAGCUGGUGUGGCGGCGCAUAUUGCUUCGGGCUUUGUAAACCUGAAGUCGUAUGCGUCUUUAAUUGCAGGUCGUGGCCGCAGCGAAGGGCAAGCAACACAACACUCACAAACACUAUAGUUUUACCCUAGGUAGGUCGUGUACAGGGCGUCCUGGGGAGGCUGGCGCUGGACUGUAAAGACCAACAUAGGUGGGUAUUACCUUGCCGGUGCUUGUCAUUCGGUGGGUAGUACUCUGCCAGUGCCUGUCUACGCAUACGUCCACCCACUAAGUCCUGCUGCGGCCACUGUCACCACACGAGUCGUGUGGCAAAGGGGGACGUUUAGCGGACACUAGGCAGGUUUUAGCUAACACUAGGCAGGUUGUAGCUUUUGGAAGUCCCCUUGCGUUUUCAUCGGGAGGAGGGCCCACUUCGGAUUCCGUUGCACUCCUGGCCGCCGUUUCGUGCCGGUUAAUUCUGGUACGAA